CGGCCCGCCGCCAUGUUGUUCCCUUGGUGCUGGACGUGAGGAGCCGGAGUUGGGCUGGAGCGGCGCUACGGCCUCGUGCCCGCGGGUGCCCGGCCUCGUCUCCUCUUUGCACCCAGCCGGGCCGGCCGGGAGCUCCCGGGCGUCCUGUGUGCGGCCGCGAGGAGAAAAGGCGAGUUCCUACACCCACACAACCCGAGAAGAGGGACACACACCCAAACACGCGAGGCCACGCGGAGAGACGCCCAAAGAUCUGGAAGACACACGGGGACACACGCACACACCCGGGGAGAGAGAGCUCCGUGAACGCCCUGGACGCGCGCAGACCCAAACACCCAGGGAGAGCGACACAAACUUCCUGCACUCCUAUUAUGAGCCUGGCACUGUGGUGAAAAGCUGUUCCCUCUUGUCCGUGACCAAGUGAAUCUGACCAAGUGAAUCUUCCCAACGGCCCUGGGAGGUAAUGAUGCUGCUUGAACUGAACAAUUAAGGUAACAUUUAUGACCUAUGUAAUAUGCUUUUCUUAUUCAGGUUUCUUUAUCAAAU
Molecule: long non-coding RNA, 543 nt
Filed under: Canis lupus dingo (dingo)
Lineage: Eukaryota; Metazoa; Chordata; Mammalia; Carnivora; Canidae
Description: lncRNA (ENSCAFG00020002808.1)
Source: RNAcentral